AACGAACGCUGGCGGCAUGCCUAACACAUGCAAGUCGAACGAGACCUUCGGGUCUAGUGGCGCACGGGUGCGUAACGCGUGGGAACCUGCCCUUAGGUUCGGAAUAACUCCCCGAAAGGGGUGCUAAUACCGGAUAAUGUCUUCGGACCCAAGAUUUAUCGCAUUUGGAUGGGCCCGCGUUGGAUUAGCUAGUUGGUAGGGUAUAAGCCUACCAAGGCGACGAUCCAUAGCUGGUCUGAGAGGAUGAUCAGCCACACUGUGACUGAGACACGGCCCAGACUCCUACGGGAGGCAGCAGUGGGGAAUAUUAGACAAUGCGCGAAAGCCUGAUCCAGCAAUGCCGCGUGAGUGAUGAAGGCCUUAGGGUUGUAAAGCUCUUUUACCCGGGAUGAUAAUGACAGUACCGGGAGAAUAAGCUCCGGCUAACUCCGUG
RNAcentral lists this ribosomal RNA (433 nucleotides) under uncultured bacterium. RNAcentral describes it as "partial 16S ribosomal RNA". It matches the Rfam family "Bacterial small subunit ribosomal RNA", at positions 29 to 507 of the family's 1533-position model. The record is from RNAcentral.